Molecule: long non-coding RNA, 357 nt
Organism: Dermochelys coriacea (leatherback sea turtle)
Lineage: Eukaryota; Metazoa; Chordata; Testudines; Dermochelyidae
Exons: 3
Source: RefSeq, a predicted model, not a curated record
UCUGGUGUUUGUCCUUCCCCAAGCACUGGCCGCUGUGACUGGCUAUCUUCCUCCUGGGUUGAGAAUAACUCCUGGCUGCAUGCAUCUAGGGAUUCCAGGUUGUCUUCCUCUGCCUCAGUACCCUUGCUCCCGCUUUCCUCCUCCCGCCUUGUUGAACUGGGCUCUGAAGUGUCCAUGGUGGUCCUCAGAGUGGAGGUGGGGUCGGCCCCAAGUAUUGCAUCCGGCUCUUUGUAGAAAUGGCAGGUCGUGGGGGCAGCACCGGAGCAGUGGUUUGCCUUGCGGGCUUUGUGGUCGGCAUUCCGCAACUCCUUCACUUUAAUUCUGCACUGCAGUGCACCUCUUGGUCAUGACCGCUGU